Gopherus evgoodei (Goodes thornscrub tortoise) is the source of this 742-nucleotide long non-coding RNA. RefSeq lists it as uncharacterized. The record is from RefSeq and is a predicted model, not a curated record. Lineage: Eukaryota; Metazoa; Chordata; Testudines; Testudinidae. The transcript is spliced from 6 exons.
AUAAAGGUCAUCAGUGAACUGGGUGGCAAAGAUGUUGAUGAUGUUGUCAAUUCAGGCCUCUCCAAGUUAGCCUGUGUUCCAGCAGGCACUGCUCUUGCUCCAGCUGCUGCUGCAUCUCCGGCUGCUGGUGAAGGCGCACCUGCAGAAGAGAAAAAAGAGGAAGAGAAGAAGGAAGAAUCUGAGGAGUCUGAUGAGGACAUGGGAUUUGGGCUCUUUGAUUAAUCACCUUGUUCUGGAAAAACAAUAAAAAUAGCAAAACCCAAAACUAUUUUACGCACAGCUUUCAGUCGAAGUGUCAGUUGCCCAGAAGGGACCUGGAUUACUGGGCUUAGCUGCUGAGAUCACCUCCUGUGUCAGACACGCUGCCUGAGAACACAGUGCUUUCUCUCGAUUAGAGAUUCUUACUUGCUCACUUUAGAACCCAGCAUUUGGCCCAUACUGUUUUUGUUACUGAUGAUUUUGCACAAGCCAUAAAAGAAACAACUUGACUUUCAGAUCUCAGGAUGUGUGCACAUCUUUGGCCGUGAAGGGAAAAAAGCUGCCAUCAUAUGACUGGUACCACACCAAAAACCGCUAAGGCUCGAUAAACAUGGAACACUAAGGUGUCACUUUCCAGAGUGAAACCAAACUUGGAAUCUGAAGGCUAGUGAGAGGAACAACUACACUGAAGGAAACAAAGCCACCAUUACCUGUAUGAGCUCCUCCUUUGAUCUGUAUUCUGAAAUGACGACAUUCUGUAAGU